AUAAAGUUUAAUUUUGGCUUAUUAAUUUAUUAUAUUUUUUGUUUACAUGUAAAUUUAAGUGUGAAUUUAAAUAUAAUUUAAAUAAUUAUAUUUAAAAAUUUUAUUCGCAGUAUUAAAUUUUAUUGAUUUAGUAAUUUGAGAAUUAUAAAAAAAUUAUAGUAUUGACAAAAUUUGUGCCAGCAGUUGCGGUUAUACAAAAAAUACAAGUAAAUUUUAUUGGUUAGUAAUAAAAUUGAUUUAUUUUAAUUAAAAUUAAUUAUAUAAAGUGAAAUUUAAUAAUUAAAAUAUUUAUUAUGAAAUUGAUUGAGUUUAUUAAAUUUAAAUUUUAAACUAGGAUUAGAUACCCUAUUAUUUUAAAUGUAAAUUUGUAUUCCAAAGUAGUACUAGUUAUGUUCUUAAAAUUUAAAGAUUUUGGCGGUAUUUUAGUCUAUUUAGAGGAACCUGUUCUAUAAUUGAUAGUCCACGAUAAAUUAUACUUUAUUUAAUUAGUUUGUAUAUCGUCGUUAUUAAGUAUUUUAAAAGAAAUUAAAUAUUUAAUAUUUUUUAAGAAAAUAUAUUUCAGAUCAAGGUGCAGUUUAUAAUAAAGUAGAAAUGGGUUACAAUAAAUUUAUUUAUACGAAUUUAUUUAUUAAAAUAAUAAUGAAGGUGGAUUUAAUAGUAAUAAAAUUUAUAUAUAUUUUAUGGUUUUAGCUCUAAAAUGUGUACAUAUCGCCCGUCGCUCUUAUUAUAAAGUAAGAUAAGUCGUAACAAAGUAGAUGUACUGGAAAGUGUAUCUAGAAAGU
This 782-nucleotide non-coding RNA is filed under the name Hygrotus nigrolineatus. The record is from RNAcentral. Lineage: Eukaryota; Metazoa; Arthropoda; Insecta; Coleoptera; Dytiscidae.